Long non-coding RNA from Perca flavescens (yellow perch), 1085 nucleotides. RefSeq lists it as uncharacterized. Lineage: Eukaryota; Metazoa; Chordata; Actinopteri; Perciformes; Percidae. The record is from RefSeq and is a predicted model, not a curated record. The transcript has 5 exons.
UGUAACAGUGUGUGCAGUUCUUAUUAAACCUCCAUAACAUAAGCGCACACGUGCUACACACAUUAAGUGAGACGCCGUCACCGCGAGUAUUGACUGUCAGAGUGUUGUACAACGGCGUCCCGUGGUGGGAUAACUAAUUUUUUAGUGUUACAUCAAGGAAGCAAUCACCAGUAAAAAACACAGAGCAGAGCCAGCCCCUGACCUCAGGACAGCUGCAGCUGCAACGGGGAAUUCAACCCAAGUUGGCCUUUAUUUUUACAGGACAGCUGAAGACCUGAAAUGGGAGAGAGGGGGGAACGACAACAACAAAGGGCCUCAGGUUUGAGUCGAAUCCGUGGCCCCUGCGUCGAGGAGUAAACUUCUAUAUGGGCCCCUGCUCUACCAGAGCUGCAAUUAGAGCUCAGAUACCAGAAGCCUGCACACGGACAGGAAAGGAGCCUGAGGUUGAAUACAGCUCCGUGGUCUCACGCAGCACUGUGCAGACACCCUUACAUACUGUACCGGAAAAAGCAGAAGGGUACUUCAGUGGCCACCAUUCAUCUGAUCUGGUAGAUACAUGGAGGUGUUCAUGAGGAUUGACUGAGUGUAUUUCUGCCUCGCUGACUACGCCUUCGUCUCCUGAGAUGGGAUCUCUGAUGCGGGCCAGGCUCAUAUUUACAGAGCUGGAUUGUGACGGGGAAAGAGGGAAGGGACUGUGGUGAAGACGGGGGUGACGGAAUGCAGUUUUCUUAGUGGGAGAAGUGAAAGACUGUUGAAACUACUCUUAAAAUGCAGUCUGUCAAAGCAGAUAUCAAUACUUUGGAAUAGUAGCUGAUUUGUGUGUGCUGAUAGCCAAUAUCAUACCAGUUUACUAUUGUUUCCCCGCAGCGUUAUUCUUGUCAGCUUCUGAUCAGUACAUUCUUUCACAACACAGUAAGUCGAAGUUAAGGCCUUUACAUACACAACCAGUGUGUUCAUCAGCUCUAUAAUAAACAAAUCGUCAAUCAAACUGCAUCAUAUCCACCAUAAGGUCGACCACACUGACUUGGCAAAGCCUGUUUUUUAAUAAAAAUCUAAUAUUGACUUGAUAUAUUGGUUUGAUGUAC